GCCUUCGUGGUGUAAUGGUCAGCACACUCGGCGCGUAUCGUGUAGUCCGAGGUUCGAGUCCUGGCGAGGGCA
RNAcentral lists this transfer RNA (72 nucleotides) under Stegodyphus mimosarum. It matches the Rfam family "tRNA". Rfam says of the family: Transfer RNA (tRNA) molecules are approximately 80 nucleotides in length. The record is from Rfam by way of RNAcentral. Lineage: Eukaryota; Metazoa; Arthropoda; Arachnida; Araneae; Eresidae.